RNAcentral lists this ribosomal RNA (566 nucleotides) under uncultured bacterium. RNAcentral's name for it is "partial 16S ribosomal RNA". It matches the Rfam family "Bacterial small subunit ribosomal RNA", at positions 355 to 912 of the family's 1533-position model. The record is from RNAcentral.
UGGGGAAUUUUGGACAAUGGGCGAAAGCCUGAUCCAGCAAUGCCGCGUGUGUGAAGAAGGCCUUCGGGUUGUAAAGCACUUUUGUCCGGAAAGAAAUCCUUGGCUCUAAUACAGUCGGGGGAUGACGGUACCGGAAGAAUAAGCACCGGCUAACUACGUGCCAGCAGCCGCGGUAAUACGUAGGGUGCAAGCGUUAAUCGGAAUUACUGGGCGUAAAGCGUGCGCAGGCGGUUUGCUAAGACCGAUGUGAAAUCCCCGGGCUCAACCUGGGAACUGCAUUGGUGACUGGCAGGCUAGAGUAUGGCAGAGGGGGGUAGAAUUCCACGUGUAGCAGUGAAAUGCGUAGAGAUGUGGAGGAAUACCGAUGGCGAAGGCAGCCCCCUGGGCCAAGUACUGACGCUCAUGCACGAAAGCGUGGGGAGCAAACAGGAUUAGAUACCCUGGUAGUCCACGCCCUAAAACGAUGUCAACUAGUUGUUGGGGAUUCAUUUCCUUAGUAACGUAGUAACGCGUGAAGUUGACCGCCUGGGGGAGUACGGUCGCAAGAUUAAAACUUAAAUGAAUUG